This 524-nucleotide long non-coding RNA is filed under the name Androctonus crassicauda. The record is from RNAcentral. Lineage: Eukaryota; Metazoa; Arthropoda; Arachnida; Scorpiones; Buthidae.
GGCGUAGGUGGAUCUCUGUGAGUUUGAGGCCAGUUGGGUCAAUAUAGUGAGUUCAAGGCCAGCCAGGGCUACGCGCUAAGAGACCACUGUCUCAGAGAAAAGAAAAAAGUAGAAAAAUCAUAAUUUUCUUGAGCCAAAGAAGUGAUCACAUUUGUUGGCGAUGGAUUGGAAACCAUGACGAGAUGAGAGAUGUUGGGAUCUAUUUAUUACCCAGUGGAAUUAUUUCUGAGUAUGAUGUGGUUUGUGCCAAGUGUAUGUCUCCUCCCAGAAUUCAAGCCUUUUAGGAAACAGAUGUAAGCAACUUUCCAUUCAUGUCCGUAAGAGUUUGUUCCUCAAGGUAAAAGGCCUUUGUGAACCCUCCUUGUUAUGCAAGAUCCGGGGCCUCUUUCCUAGCUCCUAUUUCAGCAUUUGGAGCCACGGAGGAGUCUGUGACAAAGAAGGAGGGUGAAGGGGAGGUUAGCACCCUUGUGCCUACAGACUCUCCUUAGCAGAGCUCUGGAGUGUGACAAUGGUGUUUGUGUCCA